ACAGCGAUGGUCAGCUGUGGGAAUGGUACGUCCCAGGGCUGGAGAUGUCGCUGGGGA
MicroRNA precursor from Gadus morhua (Atlantic cod), 57 nucleotides. Lineage: Eukaryota; Metazoa; Chordata; Actinopteri; Gadiformes; Gadidae. The record is from Ensembl.